CAACGUGUAUUUUUAAUAAAAAAGAAUAAAUAUUACGACUUUCAAAAGCUGAAAGUGAUAACACUUCUGAAGAAUUUACAUGUUUUCCUCUAAUGCAUGUUGCGAUAUGAUAACAAUUCAGAAGCACAUGGCAUAUUCAAUAAUUUGACUUUUAAAAAAAAAUCCAGUUCUGAACAAUGCAUAUUCUAAACAAAGGUUCCGUAAAUUUUCCUAAUGCAAUAGACACCA
RNAcentral lists this long non-coding RNA (228 nucleotides) under Mytilus galloprovincialis (Mediterranean mussel). The record is from RNAcentral. Lineage: Eukaryota; Metazoa; Mollusca; Bivalvia; Mytilida; Mytilidae.